RNAcentral lists this small RNA (28 nucleotides) under Lupinus albus (white lupine). Its description in RNAcentral is "hypothetical ncRNA". Lineage: Eukaryota; Viridiplantae; Streptophyta; Magnoliopsida; Fabales; Fabaceae. The record is from RNAcentral.
CGCAAGCAUCCGAUGCGCUAUCGCCACG